AGUGAACGCUGGCGGUAGGCCUAACACAUGCCAGUCGAACGGCAGCACAGUAAGAGCUUGCUCUUACGGGUGGCGAGUGGCGGACGGGUGAGGAAUACAUCGGAAUCUACUUUUUCGUGGGGGAUAACGUAGGGAAACUUACGCUAAUACCGCAUACGACCUACGGGUGAAAGCAGGGGAUCUUCGGACUUUGCGCGAUUGAAUGAGCCGAUGUCGGAUUAGCUAGUUGGCGGGGUAAAGGCCCACCAAGGCGACGAUCCGUAGCUGGUCUGAGAGGAUGAUCAGCCACACUGGAACUGAGACACGGUCCAGACUCCUACGGGGGGCAACAGUGGGGAAUAUUGGACAAUGGGCGCAAGCCUGAUCCAGCCAUACCGCGUGGAUGAAGAAGGCCUUCGGGUUGUAAAGCCCUUUUGUUGGGAAAGAAAAGCAGCAGGUUAAUACCCCGCUGUUCUGACGGUACCCAAAGAAUAAGCACCGGCUAACUUCGUG
Molecule: ribosomal RNA, 492 nt
Filed under: uncultured bacterium
Lineage: Bacteria
Description: partial 16S ribosomal RNA
Rfam family: Bacterial small subunit ribosomal RNA
Source: RNAcentral